This is a long non-coding RNA of Gallus gallus (chicken), 1119 nucleotides long. RefSeq lists it as uncharacterized. The record is from RefSeq and is a predicted model, not a curated record. NCBI's taxonomy places the organism in Eukaryota, Metazoa, Chordata, Aves, Galliformes, Phasianidae. The transcript has 3 exons.
AGUUCAUUGUGCAGAUGGGCUCUCUGAUUCCAUCACAAUGGUAUCUCCAUACACUGCCUCUCUCCCUCCCUCUUAGGCAGGGCGAAUCUGCUGGGCUUUAAAUCUUUCUCAGCCAGGAGGAAUUCCGAAAGGAGGAAAACAGCUGGGAAACACAUAUCCAUGCCUCCUGCAAAGAUGGGACCUGAUUCUCUAACUUUUGGGAAGAAACCUGCGUAGACUGACCGUAAAAAGAGCCAGAGGAAUAUAAGAAAAACAAAAUACAGUCUUGAGCCCAGACCUAGGCCAACAUAUGCUGGUGAUUUCACAUGGUGUCACUGCAAGAAGCUGUUGGGAAUGUUGUGGUAUUAAUAGAAUCUAGAUACCAUUUAAUACUUAAAGAGAUGGUUCCUUCACCUAGGACUCAGGAUAGCACAUUCUGCUUACUGAGAAGGGUCACCAAAUGGCAGUGUGCAUGAGCAAAUACUUAGCAACCUGCUUUGCUUCUGGGAAAAAUACCAGGUAAAGCUGAAGCACAUAUUUUCUCUUGGGCAUAACAAAAUAAAGAGCACCCUCACCCUUACUGAGCUCAGCUAGACUGUACUGGUGAGUUGAACCGGGACAGAAUCCAGUCCAGAGUGAUACUGAGGAAGAGGAGAACAUCACAGGAGCACAGAAACAAAGAUGCAGGCUCCUCAUAUACCAGAAGAGGAAAAGGAGGUGGCAGCAUCGUGCAUGUCUCUUUGUUGGCGUAACGAGCAAAGGAGACUUUAACUCUUCUGUUUGGAGGCUUUUGGGAAUUUGCUUUCAUGGAUAUCCAGACUGUGAAGUGUUGACGAAAAUAAUUGAAAAAUAACAUUCCUUAUAACGCCCAGCAGGACUGAACUCCUUCAAAGUCUCCAAAGUAGUGGUGUGACUCUGCCAUUAGAGUGAAGUAAUGCCAUUUUGAUAAUUCUACCAGUCUUACAAAAGACCUGUGAAAAAUUUGGAGGAUUUAGAUAUUCUAGCCAACGUUCAGCUGAUGUGAUUCAAUGGGGCUUCAAAUUUCCUUCAAGAGAUCUAUGCUUAGUCAAAAAAUUGAAGACCUAGAAGGCAAUCAGAACGCAACAUGGGUACAGUGGGGAUAACAAUAAAAGGAAAGUC